This 253-nucleotide ribosomal RNA is filed under the name uncultured bacterium. RNAcentral's name for it is "partial 16S ribosomal RNA". It matches the Rfam family "Bacterial small subunit ribosomal RNA", at positions 524 to 776 of the family's 1533-position model. The record is from RNAcentral.
UACGUAGGGUGCAAGCGUUAAUCGGAAUUACUGGGCGUAAAGCGUGCGCAGGCGGUUUUGUAAGUCUGACGUGAAAUCCCCGGGCCCAACCUGGGAAUUGCGUUGGAGACUGCAAGGCUAGAAUCUGGCAGAGGGGGGUAGAAUUCCACGUGUAGCAGUGAAAUGCGUAGAGAUGUGGAGGAACACCGAUGGCGAAGGCAGCCCCCUGGGUCAAGAUUGACGCUCAUGCACGAAAGCGUGGGGAGCAAACAGG